UGGGGAAUAUUGCACAAUGGGCGCAAGCCUGAUGCAGCCAUGCCGCGUGUGUGAAGAAGGCCUUCGGGUUGUAAAGCACUUUCAGCGGGGAGGAAGGCGAUAAGGUUAAUAACCUUGUCGAUUGACGUUACCCGCAGAAGAAGCACCGGCUAACUCCGUGCCAGCAGCCGCGGUAAUACGGAGGGUGCAAGCGUUAAUCGGAAUUACUGGGCGUAAAGCGCACGCAGGCGGUCUGUCAAGUCGGAUGUGAAAUCCCCGGGCUCAACCUGGGAACUGCAUUCGAAACUGGCAGGAUAGAGGCUUGUAGAGGGGGGUAGAAUUCCAGGUGUAGCGGUGAAAUGCGUAGAGAUCUGGAGGAAUACCGGUGGCGAAGGCGGCCCCCUGGACAAAGACUGACGCUCAGGUGCGAAAGCGUGGGGAGCAAACAGG
Molecule: ribosomal RNA, 429 nt
Filed under: Chloroflexota bacterium
Lineage: Bacteria; Bacillati; Chloroflexota
Description: Chloroflexi bacterium partial 16S ribosomal RNA
Rfam family: Bacterial small subunit ribosomal RNA
Source: RNAcentral